UAGCUCAGUUAGUAGAGAGUCUGCCUGCAAUGCAGGAGACCCUGGUUCGAUUCCUGG
This 57-nucleotide transfer RNA is filed under the name Ovis aries (sheep). It matches the Rfam family "tRNA", at positions 8 to 63 of the family's 71-position model. From Rfam's summary of the family: Transfer RNA (tRNA) molecules are approximately 80 nucleotides in length. Their secondary structure includes four short double-helical elements and three loops (D, anti-codon, and T loops). The record is from Rfam by way of RNAcentral. Lineage: Eukaryota; Metazoa; Chordata; Mammalia; Artiodactyla; Bovidae.